This 384-nucleotide ribosomal RNA is filed under the name uncultured bacterium. Its description in RNAcentral is "bacterial SSU rRNA". It matches the Rfam family "Bacterial small subunit ribosomal RNA", at positions 28 to 410 of the family's 1533-position model. The record is from RNAcentral.
GACGAACGCUGGCGGCGUGCCUAACACAUGCAAGUCGAGCGGUAACAGGUGUAGCAAUACAUGCUGACGAGCGGCGGACGGGUGAGUAACGCUUGGGAAUCUGCCUGUUAGUGGGGGACAACCCGGGGAAACUCGGGCUAAUACCGCAUAUGCUCUGAGGAGGAAAGCGGGGGACCAGCAAUGGCCUCGCGCUCUGGGAGCGGCCGAUGGCCGAUUAGCUAGUUGGUGGGGAAUGGCCCACCAAGGCGACGAUCGGUAGCUGGUCUGAGAGGAUGAUCAGCCACACUGGGACUGAGACACGGCCCAGACUCCUACGGGAGGCAGCAGGUGGGGAAUUUUGGACAAUGGGGGCAACCCUGAUCCAGCCAUGCCGCGUGCGGGAAG